GUGCAUGGCAGACGGGUGAGUAACGCGUGGGGAAUCUACCUCUUUGUGGGGAAUAACGCUCCGGAAGGAGUGGUAAUACCGCAUGAGAUCCAUGGCUGGAAUGUUGUGGAUGAAACCUGGGGACCUUCGGGCCUGGGGCAAGGAGAGGAUCCUGCGUCUGAUUAGCUAGUUGGUGAGGUAACGGCCCACCAAGGCAACGAUCAGUAGCCGGCCUGAGAGGGUGAUCGGCCACACUGGAACUGAGACACGGUCCAGACUCCUACGGGAGGCAGCAGUGGGGAAUUUUGCGCAAUGGGCGAAAGCCUGACGCAGCAACGCCGCGUGGGUGAUGAAGGUCUUCGGAUCGUAAAACCCUGUCGUCGGGGACGAAGGUGUGGGGGUUAAUACCCACGAGAUUUGACGGUACCACAGGAAGAAGCACCGGCUAACUCCGUGCCAGCAGCCGCGGUAAUACAGAGGGGGCAAGCGUUAUUCGGAAUUAUUGGGCGUAAAGGGCGCGUAGGCGGCUUUUUAAGUGAGAUGUGUAAUCCCCGAGCUCAACUUGGGAACUGCAUCUCAUACUGGGAGGCUAGAGUACUGGAGAGGGUGGUAGAAUUCCACGUGUAGCGGUGAAAUGCGUAGAGAUGUGGAGGAAUACCAGUGGCGAAGGCGGCCACCUGGACAGUAACUGACGCUGAGGCGCGAAAGUGUGGGUAGCAAACAGGAUUAGAUACCCUGGUAGUC
RNAcentral lists this ribosomal RNA (723 nucleotides) under uncultured bacterium. RNAcentral's name for it is "bacterial SSU rRNA". It matches the Rfam family "Bacterial small subunit ribosomal RNA", at positions 91 to 795 of the family's 1533-position model. The record is from RNAcentral.